This 433-nucleotide ribosomal RNA is filed under the name uncultured Roseburia sp. RNAcentral's name for it is "partial 16S ribosomal RNA". It matches the Rfam family "Bacterial small subunit ribosomal RNA", at positions 341 to 792 of the family's 1533-position model. Lineage: Bacteria; Bacillati; Bacillota; Clostridia; Lachnospirales; Lachnospiraceae. The record is from RNAcentral.
ACGGGAGGCAGCAGUGGGGGAUAUUGCACAAUGGGGGAAACCCUGAUGCAGCGACGCCGCGUGAGUGAUGAAGUAUUUCGGUAUGUAAAGCUCUAUCAGCAGGAAAGAUAAUGACGGUACCUGACUAAGAAGCACCGGCUAAAUACGUGCCAGCAGCCGCGGUAAUACGGAAGGUCCAGGCGUUAUCCGGAUUUAUUGGGUUUAAAGGGAGCGUAGGCGGAUUAUCAAGUCAGUGGUAAAAUCGUGUGGCCCAACCAUACCUCGCCAUUGAAACUGUUAGUCUUGAGUGCACGCAGGGAUGCUGGAAUUCGUUGUGUAGCGGUGAAAUGCUUAGAUAUGACGAAGAACUCCGAUCGCGAAGGCAGGUGUCUGGAGUGCAACUGACGCUGAGGCUCGAAAGUGCGGGUAUCAAACAGGAUUAGAUACCCUGGUA